This 253-nucleotide ribosomal RNA is filed under the name uncultured bacterium. RNAcentral describes it as "partial 16S ribosomal RNA". It matches the Rfam family "Bacterial small subunit ribosomal RNA", at positions 524 to 776 of the family's 1533-position model. The record is from RNAcentral.
UACGUAGGGCGCAAGCGUUGUCCGGAAUUAUUGGGCGUAAAGAGCUCGUAGGCGGCUUGUCACGUCGAUUGUGAAAGCUCGGGGCUUAACCCCGAGUCUGCAGUCGAUACGGGCUAGCUAGAGUGUGGUAGGGGAGAUCGGAAUUCCUGGUGUAGCGGUGAAAUGCGCAGAUAUCAGGAGGAACACCGGUGGCGAAGGCGGGACUCUGGGCCGAUACUGACGCUGAGGAGCGAAAGCGUGGGGAGCGAACAGG